This 236-nucleotide long non-coding RNA is filed under the name Elaeis guineensis (African oil palm). Its description in RNAcentral is "long non-coding RNA (EGUI_LNC001391)". Lineage: Eukaryota; Viridiplantae; Streptophyta; Magnoliopsida; Arecales; Arecaceae. The record is from RNAcentral.
UAUCCUAGGGGUGAGACGUCGCAAACGGUGGCACCAGUGGCCAAAAAAGAGCAGAAAAGGGUCCGACCGAAACAGGGCAAAAUAGAGGUUCAACUUUUUCAUAGAUUUUCCGACAAGCUCGACGGCCGGCGAGGGUGCACCAUGCCGUGGAAAGGAGGGGAAGGAAGAGGGUAAAGAAGAGAAGGGCUUACCUCCAACUCCGGUGAGGUCUCCGGCGGGUAUUUGAGAUGAACACG